This 497-nucleotide ribosomal RNA is filed under the name uncultured bacterium. RNAcentral describes it as "partial 16S ribosomal RNA". It matches the Rfam family "Bacterial small subunit ribosomal RNA", at positions 28 to 507 of the family's 1533-position model. The record is from RNAcentral.
GAUGAACGCUGGCGGCGUGCCUAAUACAUGCCAGUCGAGCGAACAGACUAGGUGCUUGCUCCUCUGACAUUAGCGGCGGACGGGUGAGUAACACGUGGAUAACCUACCUUUAAGACUGGGAUAACUUCGGGAAACCAGUGCUAAUACCGGAUAAUAUCUUUAACCGUAUGGUUCAAUAGUGAAAGACGCUUUUGCUGUCACUAAUGAAUAGAUCCGCGCCGCAUUAGCUGGUUGGUAGGGUAACGGCUUACAAGGGCAACAAAGAGAAGCCGACCGAAGAGGGGAAUCGCCCAAUUGGGAAUGGGACCACGCUCCAGCCCCCUAGGGGAGGCAGCAGAAGGGAAUCUCCGGCAAUGGGCGAAAGCCGACCGGAGCAAGGCGGCGGGAGGGAGGAAGGUCUCCGGUCCGUAAAAUCUGGUUAUAAGGGAAGAACAAAUGGGGAAUUAAAUGUGCACCUAGUGACGGUACCUAAUCAGAAAGCCACGGCUAACUACGUG